This is a non-coding RNA of Chrysemys picta bellii (western painted turtle), 9204 nucleotides long. The record is from RefSeq and is a predicted model, not a curated record. Lineage: Eukaryota; Metazoa; Chordata; Testudines; Emydidae.
GUCCUGGCUGGAUUCCUAGCCUGGCCGAGGACCUCCUCGGCACCCACGUGGUACAACCCUCCCUUCAGUGCCUCAGUGCCACCCCGCGUUCCACCUCGGUCGGCCCCCCCCGCGGGCAGUGCGUGCCCUAAACUCGGCCGGUGACGUCAGAGCCCCGCUCAGGGUGGGGGGCGUUAAUACGGGAGGCUCGCGCGCUCCUGCAACGGCCCCCGGGACUCAGAGACAACGAGCCUGGGCGGCUGUGGAACGCUCCCGGGCUGGGGCUGGGGCCGGAGCCGCGGGGCGGGCGCUGCUGAAAGGGUACUACUAACUAUGAACUAACAGAGUCCAAGAGGGAAGCUGCAGCCAAGCUGGAGCAGAGCAGUUCCGAUGCACCUUCACUGGCGGCAAGAAGGAACCGAGGGUGGGGGAAGCGCGCAGCACCCCUUAUAUCACACCACAGAGGUGCCACUCCAAGAAUUGCUAGGGGCGCUCCCCUACAGGUACUGCUAGGGGAAAAACUUCUGGCACCAGUGCACAUGGUGAGCACGUACACCUAUUGUGGAAUGCAUGUGAGCAAUCACUCAAAGAAGAACUAAUAUUUAACCUGAAGCUAAAGCUGAAACUAUUUGCCACUUCUUCAGCCAAAAAUCUCCCUUAAGAGAAGGUUUGCAUCAGCUCCCAAAACUCAGUAGAAACUUGGUUCAUUUUAAGAUUGAUUCCACUUUAUAAAAACAAAAAGACCACAUAUUGGAAACCAGGGAAAAUCACAACUUUUAACUGAGCCCCCUUAGUUCUGUCAGCCUUCCAUUUUCCCUUCUAGCUUUACAUUUAAAGACACAAUAUUUAUACUUCACAGGUGGCAUAUUAGAAAUGUGAGCUAUAGAGCAUUCCUAUUUUGUUUCGUAUAUGUCUGAUAUCUCAGUAUUCCAUCAACAUAACCUUUGAACUUUCCAUAUAGUACCAUAAUUUAAUCUCACAUGACCUAGCUGUUUGGAUAUAGAGAUACACUAACUCUUUGUACGACCCAUGGAAUCUUUGUAUGCAGUGUUGUUAUAACCAUGUUGGUCCCAGGAUAUUAGAGAGACAAGGUGGGUUAGGUAAUACAUUUUAUUGGACCAACCUUUGUGAAAGCUCAAAAGCUUGUCUCUGUCACCAACAGAUCGUUGGUUCGAUAAAAGAUUACCUCCCCCACAUGGAAUCUUUGUGAACUAUGGGAAAUGCCUCAGUCUGCUUUUGCCUAAUCAGACAUUGUUAAACGAUAACCCUAAGGAAGGUCAAGUCUACACAAUCACUGUAUGAUUAAAAGGUAUUGAAAGUUUCAAUAGACACUGAAGAUGACCAUAGAAUGGAUAGAUACGCUUCAUAGUUCUAGGUUAAGGGAACCUAGUUGAGGUUGUUUGUGUGAAGUUAAGUGCACUUUCGCAUACUUUAAAAAAAGGGGAGAAGGUUGUAAAGUAGAAUCAUAGUUUAGGAUUUAUAGAUUUUUCUAAAAUUCAUGUUUUGAGAAAACUAGAAAAUUCUAUUAAGACUUCUUUGGCUAACCUGGUACAGAAAAGCAGCAAAGUAGUGUUAGCCAGUGCAUUUAGGUUAUGUUUAUAUGCACCACAUGAAUAGCUAUAUAUUAUAUAAAUACCAUAUACAUGUGUGCUGGGUAAUUAUGCUAAGUUGUACACUGCUUAUUUUAGCUCAUUUAUGCUUAGGCAUAUAUCCCAUGAGGCCCUGGGAGAUGUAUAGCUCAGCACUUGGCUUAAGCAAAUACAAAAACUGUCAAAAGCUAGAUAUACGAGCAUUAUGAAACAAAGGUACAAUGUAGUACAAGGAAAUAAUGAAAGAUGUAUGAAUGCUUUGUAUUAGGGAGUAUCUUCAUGCCCUUUAACAUUUAGUAUUUAAUAUUCAAACGAAAGAUGGGAAAGUACAAGGAGGCACCAAAGACAAAGCUGGCUUGUUAAACUUUAAGUGCUCUGUUACUUGUAAACAGCCAUGCUAUAAAAGAUGGCCAGUUUAAAGGGGCACUUGGGAAGCACAUUGUCCAAGAUGAACUGAACACACUGCGAGACUUCAGGUCCCAGAAAGGAUUGGUGAUGUAUUAACUUUUUCAUGUACCAUAGUGUGUUUUGUUUUUAGACAACUUUGGCUGAGCUUGGUUAUGUGAUCUCUUGAAUGUUCUUAAUAUCAAACUGCAAGUAUAGUCAAUGUAUUGGCUAUACCUUUUAGUCCAUAAAAAUGUGUUGUCAUAAAGAUGGUUAGAUGCUGUAGUGGAAAAGAAGAUAUGGAGCACAGGACAUUCAAUCACACUGUAAUAUGAUUGUUUCUCCUGGUCAGCUUAGUUAAAGGAUAUCCUGUCGCUCAUGCAUUAGAACUAUUUGUUUUACCACUGAAAUUCUGUUUCUAGGAAUAUCUUGUAUUAUAAAUCAGUAUCUCAAUACACUGUGGUAGGGUUUUUCUGCUUCUAACACCCCAGACCUGAGAGCAUUUAGGUUUCAUGGUGCAGAGAAUGAAGGAGGGUCAGCUCUACUGCCUGACCCUUCAUCAGAGAGGUACAUCACUUGGUCACUCUUCUCAUCAUGGGUGCCCCCACUAAAUUAAUCAGUCUGGGGAGAGAAACCUUUAUAUCCUAAGCUGCUUUUCUAUAGUUUUACUUGGGGCCUUUUAGAUAGGUGAUGGCUACAGGCAGCAUGCUUCAACAUAACCUCUUCCUAGUACAUGAAAAAAUAGUUACCUCUUUUUCCUCCCCCCCCACAAAAAAAAAAAAGGCAAAACAACCCCCCAAAAAGUCUCCCACUCCAAAAAAAACCCCCAGAGCCCAGAUACAUACAGUAUUUAACUUUUCAUUGUGGGUUGGGAUCUGCCUUUAUCUCUAGCCACCAUUGCAAGAAGCUAAAACACUAUGGUGGAAAUCACUGCUGUUAUCAUUGAAGUCCUCAAGAGGCACUCUUCCUCUUGUGGACCACUAGAGACAGAAUUCACCAAUUUUUUAAAAAAGCAUCUAAGGAACACUUUGAGUAGUGUCUGAAUAUGAAUCCGCAACAGAGGAAUUGGGGCCUGAGGGGGAAUUACUGUUUGUGCUAAUUUAGGGACAAUUUAGAUCAUAGGUUGGUUUUAAUUUACAUGAUAUUCCACUGCCAUAUCAUGGGUGAAUAAAGAAUGUUUGGCCUCUAAUACUAGAGAUGCGUAUAUCUGGUACCAUAAGACAAUUACAGUAUUGAACAAUAUUAUUACCAUACACCAUUUAUAUUAUAGUGGCAUAGAGACUGUACAACCUUCAGUCUAUCACUGCAACAAAAUUCCUCAUUGUGAUGUAAACACAGGGAACUGUACUAAGAUCAACUCAUUUCACAUAAGCCACUAAACAGUAUGACAACUCUGGUCACUAGUGACUUGGAUGCAAAUGUAUUAGUUUUAAAGGGCUUACUCAUUUGUUUGGGCUGCAAAAAUGCUAACAAAAGGAUUCUAAAAAAUCUUUUUAUUGCUAUACAAGUGAGAGUAAUUUGGCUAACAAAUACCAGUCUCUAGGUAGGUUGUUUUUUUAAUUACAUAGCUCAGAAUUCUUGUCUGUCAAUUACCUUGCUUCCACAGCAAGAGCCAUUUCUCUUGUUGAUGAAAAUAUAUCUUCUAGUAAUAGCAUCAAUUUUUGCUAAUUUGUUUUUAAUCAAAUACUAGUCAGAAAGUUAGAGUUUAAUUUUUGGGUGGAGGGUAGGAAAGAUAAGGUAGAGCAGUGGUUCUCAAUCAGGGGUCCGGGGCCCCCUGGGGGGGGCCACAAGAAGGUUUCAGGGGGUCUGCCAAGCCCGGGCAGCAUUAGACUCACUGGGUCUCAGGACAGAAAGCUGAAGCCCUGCUGCAUGGGGCCCUGAGCCCUGUCACCCAGGGCAGAAGCCAAAGUUUGAGCAAUGUAGCUUUGCAGGCGGGGCCCCCAGUGGCUUGGGGCCAUGGGCAAUUGCCCUGCUUGGUACCCCCACUGCCGGCCCUGGCUUUUAUAUGCAGAAAAACAGUAGUUGUAACAAGGUGGGCGGUGGAGUUUUUAUAUCAUGGAAGGGUGGGGGGCUCAGAAAGAAAAAGAUGAAGAACCCCUGAGGUAGAGAGCAUUGUUCACAUAGCAUAGAUUACUGCCUGUCACUCACAAAUCUUUAGUCUGAUGAAACCUCUGCCCCGUUACACUUGUGUGUUUAUUACAUAAAGCUUUUUAUUUUAAAACACCAAAAACAGCAGUAUGUUUUAGCAAACUGACUUUGGCUGGUUGUAAUGUGAAUAGGGAAUAAAUCAAUUAGUUAAAAGUUAGGUCUAUUAAUUAAUCUUCAAUGACAGAUUGAGAUUAAGUGCCAAAUUCACAUGGUGGCUAAGAAAUUAAUAUUUAAUACAUAUCAAUGAGAUUUUAUUUGAAUUAACUAAAGAUUUAAAUAUUAAAGCAAGUUAAAAUAUAAGUCUACAUUAAAUUACAAUGUUAAAUAGCUUUUAAAUACAUUUGUUGUACUAAACAUAUGAUAGGGGGUUUGGUUUCUAACACAGAGGAAAAGGAAUAAAAAUAAUUCAAAGAAUGCAAUACAAUUCAUGAGACCAGAUGACAGAAUGAGGACUUUAAUAUGGAAACCCAGAAGAUGUCAGCUUUUAGCAAUGGAUACUUAAGAAGGGGUCGUGGACUUAUAAUUUAUGCACAAAAGUCAUAUUAUAUAAAUUUAGUAAGUGAUUUUCAAGAAAAUAUUGCUUAAAUUCUCAUUAGGCCAUGAUCAAAACUCCUUUGGUAGCUUUUAAUCAGAAUGAAACACCAUUAUGCAAAUCCUGUAAAAUAAAACAGGCUUGUAAAUAUUACCACAAAAAAGUAUCUUCCUUAUAGUUACAAUUAUCUAACAGAUCUACAUGUCCUUCAUUCUUUAAUUCAAAUCAACUUACAUAUAUACAAUAUGUAACAGGGAACUCACAAAAUCCAUACUCUCUCAAGACAAAAAUCUAUGCUUUCACAACAUCGAGACUGUAAAGCCUUUGAAAUCUUUUCUCUUCUUGUGUUGAGUGCACUGUACAGUAAUUAUCCUAUAUUUGUCUCUAAAGACAAAACUAAAUUAUACUGAAGUUUUACAUAAACAGUGAUACAAAUCACUUGCCCUAGAGCAAAAAAUUCCACAAAUGAAUACCUUAGCUAAGUAAUCAGACAGCUCACUACAGACAUUUUAACACAGUUGUCCUCUUGGCACUUCAAAGAUUUCACUUCAAAACCUGAUUUAUCCAAACCAGACUGAAGUUUAGAACUAUUUUAAAAAAAAAUUAAACAAACAUGAAUAUAACAGUAUCAUGGUGCAUAAUUUCAAGAAUUCACUGAAUGUUUGUACACAAGUGUUAAUUAAUUAAAAGGGGUUUUAAAAGAUACCAGAGUGAUUUUUUGUAGCUAAAGAAUGCAGCAUUAAGGGUCUUUAUGGAUGUGCACUCAUGAACACAUACAUAAAUAAGCCAGAAAAAGAGUAUUUUUUUACCUUCCCUUCCAACUUCAAAAGUUAAUUUUAAACAAAGUAGAAUAAACAUAUCUUGAAGAACUCAAAAGAACAAAUGGAAGAACUAAAAGAAAUAAAAAAUGUGCCAUUUAAAAAUCACUAAGGAGUCUUGACAAGGAUCAUUGAAGAAACAUUUCCUUUGCUUCUCAUCCACACCAGUGCAUGCAGCUGGUUGAAUAGUAUACAUCAACUUGAGGAUCUGCUAAAAGUAAAGUCUGCAAACAGCAUAGGUAUUUAAAGUCCUGAAUACAUGAUUCUGGUGUCUUCUUAGAAAAAAAAGUUCUCUCCCAUUAUGCAACAUAGUGGUAUUGAUUGGGGUUGUCUUUGUCUCUCUCCAUAUAGUCUCUAUCUAUGAGAGAUUCAAUCCUUUUUUUCAAGUCUCCAGGCUAUAAGAAAAGAUCAAAUUGGUAUUAUGUUUAGUAAUAUAAAUGAAAUAUAAAAAACUUAUUUUCAAUCCCACUAUAGUAAAAUGAGGACAGUAAUCUUUAUUUAAAAAAUUGGCACUAUAAAUUGUAUAACAAAAUACAUCAAAUUAAAAAUGCAUUUCUAUAUAUCUAUAUCUAUAAAUGCAUUUUGUUAUAUAACUCCUGAUAAAACCUGUUGACUUCCCCCCCUCAUUGUUAAAGAAAACGUAUUUUAACAUUUGAAUCUUUGAUUUUGAUUCAACCAUUAAAUCCUACACUAUUUCCUUAUUUUCUCAUCUUUUAGAAGGACAGAAAAGAAUAGAAAAAUUAAUGAAAAAGACAAUUAUCUUUUCCAUAACUGGUGUUCUUCAGGAUGUGUUGCUCAUGUCCAUUCCAUAUUAAGUGUGUGCACUCACCACAUGCACCGGUGCUGGAAGAUUUUCCCUCAGUGGUAUCCGUAGGGGACUGGCUCUGCCGCCCAAUGGAGCAGCGCACACAAGGGGCCCUGCUGGCUUCUCCCACCCUCAGUUCCUUCUUGCUGGAAACUCCGACAGUGGGAAGGAGAGCGGGUCAUGGAAUGGACAUGAGCAACACAUCUUGAAGAACACCUGUUAUGGAAAAGGUAACUGUCUUUUCUUCUUUGAGUGCUUGCUUAUGUCCAUUCCAUAUUAGGUGACUCCCAAGCAAUGCCAAUGGAGGCAGGUAGGAGUUCACAGACAUGUAGAUUGCAACAUAGCUCUGCCGAACCCAACGUCAUCUCUGGCCUGCUGAGCAAGGGCGUAGUGCGCUGUGAACGUGUGAACUGAAGACCAUGUCGCAGCUCUGAAAAUGUCCUGAAUAGGGACAUGCGCCAGGAAGGCCGCCGAGAAUGCCUGAGCUCUGGUUGAGUGGGCCCUCACAAUCAGCGGCGGUGGGACCUGCGCCAGUUCGUAACAGGUCCAGAUGUAGGUGGUGAUCCAGUUGGAAAUCCUCUGCAAGGACACUGGAAGGCCCUUCAUCCUCUCCACUGUCACGAUGAAGAACUGGGUCGACCUGCGGAAGGGCUUGGUAUGCUCCAGAUAAAAUGCCAGGGCACGUCUGAUGUCCAGGGCAUGCAGCCUCCUUUCCUUACUAGCGGUAUGUGAGCUGGGACAAAAUACCAGGAGGAAGAUGUACUGGUUAACAUGGAAGGAAGACACCACCUUCAGCAGAAAGGCCGGAUGGGGUCACAGUUGAACUUUGUCCUUAUAGAACACUGUAUACGGUGGCUUCAACAUCAGAGCUUUAAGUUCCAACACUCAUCUCGCGGAUGUUAUGGCUACAAGGAAAGCGACAUUCCAUGACAGGUGGGAGAGGGAGCAGGAGCCCAUAGGCUCAAAAGUUGGGCCCAUGAGCUUAGAAAGAACCAAGUUAAGGUCUCACUGUGGGACAGGGACUCAGGCCGGUGGGAGGAGCCUCUCGAGACGUCUCAGGAAUCAGACCAACAUGUCGUUGUGAGAAUACCUUUUGGAUCUGUGGGUGGAAAGCGGAGAUAGUCGCAAGGUGCACCUUGACAGAAGACUGGGCCAGCCUCUGGUUCUUAAGAUGGAGCAGGUAAUCUAAGAUAGAUUGUAAGGAGGAGCGCAUUGGAGAAAUGCUACACUCGGACGCCCAGUGGGAGAACCUCAUCCACUUGGCCAGGUAGGUCACUCCAGUGGAAGGCUUCCUGCUAUCCAGGAGGAUUUGCUGGACCUCGUUAGAGCAGGCCUGCUCCUCCGGGUUCAACCACACAGCAUCCACGCCGUGACGUGGAGGGGGGCAAAAUUGGGGUGUAAGAGAUGCCUGCGAUCCUGUGAGAGCAGAUGGGAAGGCUCCAGGGAGUGGACACCAUCACGUCCAUCAGCAUGCCGAUCCAAUGGUGGUGAGGCCACGCUGGGGCGAUCAUGACUACUUGGGCCUUGUCUCUCUUGAUCUUUGACAGGACUCUGCUGAUGAGCGGGAUCGGUGGAAACGCGUACAUCAGUCCCCCUGCCCAUGACAGGUGGAAGGUGUUGGAGAGGGAGUCCUUGCCCAGACCCUAUAGGGAACAGAAGUGAUGGCAUUUCCUGUUCUGACUGGUGGCAAACAGAUCCACUUGGGGAGUUCCCCACCUCUGGAAGAGUUUCUGGGCUACAUCCGGAUGGAGCAACCACUUGUGGUGAGAGAAAAAGGAUCUGCUGAGGUGAUCUGCCAGCGUAUUCCUGACACCGGGGAGGUGAUAGGCCUACAAGUGGAUUACAUGCUUGAUUCAGAAAUCCCACAAUCAGAGAGCCUCUUGAUAGAGAGCUGACGAGUGCGCUCACUCUUGCCUGUUGAUGUUGAAUGUCGAGGUCGUAUUGUCUGUCAACACACUCACCCCCUUGCCCGCCAAGUGUGGUAAAAAGACUCCACAGGCCAACCUAACCGCUCUGAGCUCGAUGAUGUAUAUAAACAUCUUCAUCUCCUCUGGGGACUACACGCCCUGGGUCUGAAGGUUGCCAAGAUGCGCUCCCCAGCCUAGGUCUGAGGCGUCCAAUAUCAGCUUGAUACAGUGACAAGGGCUGUCGAAUGGAACUCCUUCCAGGACCGCCCUGGAGUCCGUCCACCAUUGCAGCAAGGUAAGUAUCGUCAGCGGGAUGGUAACGACCUUUUCCAGGUGAUCUCUGGACUAGGAAUAGACCGUCACCAGCCACUGCUGUAAAUGUCGCACCCAGAGGCUGGCAUGGUGGACGACAUACGUACAUGCUGCCAUGUGUCCCAGCAGGCGCAGACAAACCCUGUUCCCCCAGGCCACGGCCACAGACUCCCAUGCAGAGGUCCACCAAUGCUUGGAACCUCUCCUGUGGCAGAAACGCUCUGGCGCAGGUGGAGUCGAGCACUGCGCCGAUGAACUCUAUCCUCUGCACUGGAACUAACGUUGACUUUUUGUCGUUUACCAGCAGGCCCAGGAUCGGCCUGGGUUGGGACCUGGAUUGACCUUUGACCAGCCAGUCAUCGAGGUACGAGUAGAUCUAUAUACUCCAAUGCCUGAGGGCCUGCCGAAGGGAACGUCCAGCACUGACGGCUAAGCCUCUGUCGACAGACCCUAGAGGAGCAUCCAGGAUGCCUGCUGCAUGGAGAUGGCCGAGGCCAUGGUGCAAGCCGCAGAGUCAGCCGCAUCUGAAGCUGUCUGGAGGGCCACCCUGGCCACAGUGGUGCCCUCUUCGAGUACUGUCCAGAAUUCCUUCUUGGACCCUUCGGGAAGCGAAGCCUCGAACUUGGCCAUUGCCUGCCACAUGUUGUAAUCGGAGCAGCCAAGGAGGGCUUGGUGGUUGGCCAUUCUCAACUGAAGGCUGGAAGAUGAAUAAAUCUUUCACCCAAACAGA